RNAcentral lists this transfer RNA (76 nucleotides) under Thermanaerovibrio acidaminovorans DSM 6589. Its description in RNAcentral is "tRNA-Glu (TTC) (tRNA-Glu-TTC-1-1)". It matches the Rfam family "tRNA". Rfam says of the family: Transfer RNA (tRNA) molecules are approximately 80 nucleotides in length. Their secondary structure includes four short double-helical elements and three loops (D, anti-codon, and T loops). The record is from RNAcentral. Lineage: Bacteria; Thermotogati; Synergistota; Synergistia; Synergistales; Synergistaceae. RNAcentral also lists the same sequence under 2 other names.
GGUCCCAUCGUCUAGUGGUCUAGGACACCGCCCUUUCAAGGCGGCGGCACGGGUUCGAAUCCCGUUGGGACCGCCA